Oryctolagus cuniculus (rabbit) is the source of this 1635-nucleotide non-coding RNA. Lineage: Eukaryota; Metazoa; Chordata; Mammalia; Lagomorpha; Leporidae. The record is from RefSeq and is a predicted model, not a curated record.
UGCUGGGAAGGCGGAUCCGCGACGGAGGAGUGAAAUGGAGCUUCCUAGACUAGCCGGGGUGGCCACCUGAAGACACCUAAACCAAUGCCUCUCAGUACUUAGGCUUCCGGAGCAGUGGUUUCCAUGCUGAGAAGCGAAUUCUGACCGCUUUUCCUGUGGUAAAUGGCAACAAAAGGGAAGUUCACAGGCCUUCUGAUCAAAAAGAAGUGCAUCCAAUAUAGUAUAAAGACCUACUACAGGUAAAUUUCAUCUGGACCUAGAUCUGAUUUGGAUGACAACAUCCUUAACUUUGAGCUGAUGCAGACUUCUGAGAAAUCUAAGGAGGCGAGCAUAUUUGGUGUGUGGUAGAAAGUAGACAGUUUGUGGCCGGAGGGCAGACUGUGGUUGAUUUUGCAUGUCCACAAAUACGUCGAUAUUUCACCCUUUAAGAAGUGGUGGAAACCACCCCUACCAAAGUAUGGGAUGGACUUAAUGGUCUGUUUCAGGAAAAUCAAAUAAGGCAGAUGUAGCAGUGUGUUAACUUCUAAGACUAAAUCAUAAAAUACAUAUUUCCUUUCUUUUUCGUGUCACCUAUUUGAGGAAAGCCAGCUGCUACAUUGUUAGAGUGCUUACUCAGCCUGAUGGAGAACCUACGAGGUGAAAGACUGGGAUCCCCUGCCAACAGCCAGGUAAAAGGUCUUACUAAGGAAGUUAAGGACUCGGAGAUGAAGAUAGCAUCCAGAUUAUCCAAGUGGGUCCAAAAGGAAACCUUAAAUCUCCUUGUAAGAGACAAAGAGGACCCACACGGGAGAGACCUGCAAGAAGCUUCUGGCUCCAGGCUUCAGAUCAGCUCAGCUCCGGCCAUUGCAGCCAGUUGGGGAGUGAACCAGUAGAUGCAAGACUUUCUCUCUCUCUCUGCCUUUCAAAUAAAAAAACAAAUAAAUAAAUCUUUAAAAGAAAACCAUUAAAAAACAAAACAAAACAAAACAAAAAAAAAAAAACACCACACACAAAGGGAGACCAGGUUAAGCUGCUAUCUGCAGUACCAGCAUCCCAUAUGGGUGCGGGGUCCAGUCCUGGUUGCUCCUGAUUCAGCCCCAUGCUAAUGUGCCUGAGAAAGCAUCGGAAGAUGGGCCCAGGUACUUGGGCCCCUAGACCCCAUGGGCGAGACCCAGAUGAAGCUCCUGGCUCCUGGUUUUAGCCUGGCCCAGCCCUGGCUGUUGUGGCCAUUGUGGAAUGAACCAGCAGAGGGGAGACUUCUCUUUUUGCUUCUGCAUGUCCCUCUCUAUAAUUCCAUCUUUCAAAUAAAUAAAUAAAUCUUAAAGAAAAAAAAAGACACACACAAAAAUGAGGAGGAAGCAGAGAUAAAGUGAUAUAGCUUCAAGUAGUCACCAGAAAUAUGGAGUAAUGAACAAAAUGGAUUUGUUUCUCUGAACUUCCAGGGUUAAUGCAAGCGCUUCUAAUACCCUUGGAUGUUUAGCCACCAACACUGGUUUUAAGGCACACAGUUUAUGAUAAUCUGUCACAGUAUCCAUAAGAAACUAAUACACGGUGAAGGCACCACACUAGAGUAGGAGCACAUAUCAACGUUCAUGUACAUGAGAUCCUUUUACGAAAAGCAAGCCCUAAUGCACCAUGUAAAUAAUUCUUCUCUAU